GGGCGGUUGGCUCAGUGGUAGAGCGUCUGCCUUACAAGCAGAGGGUCACUGGUUCGAAUCCAGUACUGCCCA
RNAcentral lists this transfer RNA (72 nucleotides) under Ascophyllum nodosum. It matches the Rfam family "tRNA". From Rfam's summary of the family: Transfer RNA (tRNA) molecules are approximately 80 nucleotides in length. Their secondary structure includes four short double-helical elements and three loops (D, anti-codon, and T loops). Further hydrogen bonds mediate the characteristic L-shaped molecular structure. tRNAs have two regions of fundamental functional importance: the anti-codon, which is responsible for specific mRNA codon recognition, and the 3' end, to which the tRNAs corresponding amino acid is attached (by aminoacyl-tRNA synthetases). tRNAs cope with the degeneracy of the genetic code in two manners: having more than one tRNA (with a specific anti-codon) for a particular amino acid; and 'wobble' base-pairing, i.e. permitting non-standard base-pairing at the 3rd anti-codon position. The record is from RNAcentral. RNAcentral also lists the same sequence under 3 other names. Lineage: Eukaryota; Phaeophyceae; Fucales; Fucaceae.